UACGUAGGUGGCAAGCGUUAUCCGGAUUUAUUGGGCGUAAAGAGAGUGCAGGCGGUUUUCUAAGUCUGAUGUGAAAGCCUUCGGCUUAACCGGAGAAGUGCAUCGGAAACUGGAUAACUUGAGUGCAGAAGAGGGUAGUGGAACUCCAUGUGUAGCGGUGGAAUGCGUAGAUAUAUGGAAGAACACCAGUGGCGAAGGCGGCUACCUGGUCUGCAACUGACGCUGAGACUCGAAAGCAUGGGUAGCGAACAGGAUUAGAUACCCUGGUAG
This 270-nucleotide ribosomal RNA is filed under the name uncultured bacterium. RNAcentral's name for it is "partial 16S ribosomal RNA". It matches the Rfam family "Bacterial small subunit ribosomal RNA", at positions 524 to 793 of the family's 1533-position model. The record is from RNAcentral.